This 377-nucleotide ribosomal RNA is filed under the name uncultured bacterium. RNAcentral's name for it is "bacterial SSU rRNA". It matches the Rfam family "Bacterial small subunit ribosomal RNA", at positions 521 to 896 of the family's 1533-position model. The record is from RNAcentral.
UAAUACAGGGGUCUCGAGCGUUAAUCGGAAUCACUGGGCUUAAAGGGAGCGUAGGCUGACCAGCAAGUGCUUUGUGAAAGCCCCCGGCUCAACCGGGGAACUGCGGGGCAUACUGCUGGUCUUGAGGCAUGUAGGGGCGGGCAGAACAGUAGGUGGAGCGGUGAAAUGCGUAGAUAUCUACUGGAAUGCCGAUGGUGAAGACGGCCCGCUGGGCAUGUCCUGACGCUCAGGCUCGAAAGCGUGGGGAGCAAACAGGAUUAGAUACCCUGGUAGUCCACGCCGUAAACGAUGUGCACUAGAUCGGAGUGGCUCUGACGCCGGUUCGGUCGAAGUAAAAACACUAAGUGCACCGCCUGGGGAGUACGGUCGCAAGGCUA